UACAGAGGUCUCAAGCGUUGUUCGGAUUCAUUGGGCGUAAAGGGUGCGUAGGUGGCGUCGUAAGUCAGGUGUGAAAUCUCGGGGCUCAACCCCGAAACUGCACUUGAUACUGCGAUGCUCGAGUACUGGAGAGGAGAUUGGAAUUUACGGUGUAGCAGUGAAAUGCGUAGAUAUCGUAAGGAAGACCAGUGGCGAAGGCGAAUCUCUGGACAGUUACUGGCACUGAGGCACGAAGGCCAGGGGAGCAAACGGG
This 253-nucleotide ribosomal RNA is filed under the name uncultured bacterium. RNAcentral describes it as "partial 16S ribosomal RNA". It matches the Rfam family "Bacterial small subunit ribosomal RNA", at positions 524 to 776 of the family's 1533-position model. The record is from RNAcentral.